This is a long non-coding RNA of Macrobrachium nipponense, 637 nucleotides long. RefSeq lists it as uncharacterized. The record is from RefSeq and is a predicted model, not a curated record. The transcript has 4 exons. Lineage: Eukaryota; Metazoa; Arthropoda; Malacostraca; Decapoda; Palaemonidae.
UCCAAGUAAAGAUGUAGCACUAAUAUUUUCUGCGAUGGCACACUAUACACACUGCCAUUUUGGAUGGGGUUUCAUUGAACUUCAGGUACAGAAAAUGAAGCUUACUUGUCCCCGAAAGGCAAAAAUUCCAGAAUGCAGUAACCGGAAUGAGAGGGGAGCAGCAUACGGUAUUCUUGUGGAAAAAGAAAAAUCAGAUAUGAUAUAGAAUUUAGACUUCCCUGCACAUGAGACAACAAGUAGACUUUAGACUUCUCUGGAUAUGAGGCAACACGAAGGAGCCUAGAUUGUAAUGUAUCUCCCGAGAGCUUUACAUAUGAGGCAGUUCGAAAGAGCGGAGGCGGGGCAUCAAUGACGUCAGGAACGAGGCCGCUCUCGCACCACUGACUGAGAGUGGGUUUCAUGGGAGGUAAAUAAUGAUGCGAUAAUGUUGUGCUCCCGACUGCCUCCGCCUGAAAAAAAGGAAGAUGUCUCCCUGGGUUAUGUGGAGGCUCAAGAUUCUUACAACAGACAUUUAAGUGGAUCUAGACAUGGAAUUAUAAUCAAAAUAGUGCCUUUGCUUCAAAAUAAAGAGCUGGAUCCCAGCUGUUUCUGAGUGAAUGAGAAGGUCGGGGAAUUUUCCAAAACUCAGGCUAUGCAU